RNAcentral lists this ribosomal RNA (301 nucleotides) under uncultured bacterium. RNAcentral describes it as "partial 16S ribosomal RNA". It matches the Rfam family "Bacterial small subunit ribosomal RNA", at positions 509 to 807 of the family's 1533-position model. The record is from RNAcentral.
CAGUCGCCGCGGGAAUACGAAGGGGGCUAGCGUUGUUCGGAUUUACUGGGCGUAAAGGGCGCGUAGGCGGACUGAUAAGUCAGGGGUGAAAUCCCAAGGCUCAACCUUGGAACUGCCUUUGAUACUGUUUGUCUUGAGUUCGAGAGAGGUAAGUGGAACUGCGAGUGUAGAGGUGAAAUUCGUAGAUAUUCGCAGGAACACCAGUGGCGAAGGCGGCUUACUGGCUCGAAACUGACGCUGAGGCGCGAAAGCGUGGGGAGCAAACAGGAUUAGAUACCCCAGUAGUCCCUGUCUCUUAUAC